UCUGAUGUUAGCGGCGGACGGGUGAGUAACACGUGGAUAACCUACCUAUAAGACUGGGAUAACUUCGGGAAACCGGAGCUAAUACCGGAUAAUAUUUUGAACCGCAUGGUUCAAAAGUGAAAGACGGUCUUGCUGUCACUUAUAGAUGGAUCCGCGCUGCAUUAGCUAGUUGGUAAGGUAACGGCUUACCAAGGCAACGAUGCAUAGCCGACCUGAGAGGGUGAUCGGCCACACUGGAACUGAGACACGGUCCAGACUCCUACGGGAGGCAGCAGUAGGGAAUCUUCCGCAAUGGGCGAAAGCCUGACGGAGCAACGCCGCGUGAGUGAUGAAGGUCUUCGGAUCGUAAAACUCUGUUAUUAGGGAAGAACAUAUGUGUAAGUAACUGUGCACAUCUUGACGGUACCUAAUCAGAAAGCCACGGCUAACUACGUGCCAGCAGCCGCGGUAAUACGUAGGUGGCAAGCGUUAUCCGGAAUUAUUGGGCGUAAAGCGCGCGUAGGCGGUUUUUUAAGUCUGAUGUGAAAGCCCACGGCUCAACCGUGGAGGGUCAUUGGAAACUGGAAAACUUGAGUGCAGAAGAGGAAAGUGGAAUUCCAUGUGUAGCGGUGAAAUGCGCAGAGAUAUGGAGGAACACCAGUGGCGAAGGCGACUUUCUGGUCUGUAACUGACGCUGAUGUGCGAAAGCGUGGGGAUCAAACAGGAUUAGAUACCCUGGUAGUCCACGCCGUAAACGAUGAGUGCUAAGUGUUAGGGGGUUUCCGCCCCUUAGUGCUGCAGCUAACGCAUUAAGCACUCCGCCUGGGGAGUACGACCGCAAGGUUGAAACUCAAAGGAAUUGACGGGGACCCGCACAAGCGGUGGAGCAUGUGGUUUAAUUCGAAGCAACGCGAAGAACCUUACCAAAUCUUGACAUCCUUUGACAACUCUAGAGAUAGAGCCUUCCCCUUCGGGGGACAAAGUGACAGGUGGUGCAUGGUUGUCGUCAGCUCGUGUCGUGAGAUGUUGGGUUAAGUCCCGCAACGAGCGCAACCCUUAAGCUUAGUUGCCAUCAUUAAGUUGGGCACUCUAAGUUGACUGCCGGUGACAAACCGGAGGAAGGUGGGGAUGACGUCAAAUCAUCAUGCCCCUUAUGAUUUGGGCUACACACGUGCUACAAUGGACAAUACAAAGGGCAGCGAAACCG
The sequence is a ribosomal RNA, 1186 nucleotides long. It matches the Rfam family "Bacterial small subunit ribosomal RNA", at positions 85 to 1257 of the family's 1533-position model.